This is a long non-coding RNA of Micropterus dolomieu (smallmouth bass), 612 nucleotides long. RefSeq lists it as uncharacterized. The record is from RefSeq and is a predicted model, not a curated record. NCBI's taxonomy places the organism in Eukaryota, Metazoa, Chordata, Actinopteri, Centrarchiformes, Centrarchidae. The transcript has 3 exons.
CUAACAUGAUGUUGUGAUCAAUGGUGUCAUAUAAGCGCAUAAUAGCUAUAGCUGCUAGUGGUCUUGGAAACACCUGUUAUACUGAGAAGGAAGAAGACAGAGGCGGGAAGAAGGAUAAGACUAUGGAGAGGAACCACCGCUGAGUAUUGUCUAGACGUGGCAGUCUGUGUACACAAGGGGGCUGAGCACACUCAAGAGAGGUUGGAUGGAAGCAUAAGAAAUACUGUUGCUGGUCGCGGUAAAAGAAAACAAUUCCACCACUGUUAACUUCAUUUUACAGUUUCAGGUUGAAGAGUAUGGGCUGGACACAUGAGCCAUCUGCAGAACUUGACCUGUGACCAUUCCUUAAGGGACAGUGUCAUUCAACAGUAAAUCCAGUGGCUGCUCUGUCACCCAUUUAAGGUGAACUCCAGUCAGCAUCCCACAUGUGAGAGGCCUGGAUGUGGAAAAUACACUGACCUGAUAACUGCAGCUGAGCUAUUGACAAGUGGAAAGAAAAACAAAACAGCGUUGUGUCAAAUGAGAUUGAUUAAUGGGUAAUGUCAUUCUGCAGUGCUUUAGGAGCAUCACUGGAUCCUGCACAUGUAGAACAGUUGGGUCCAUAGGACAGAA